GACGAACGCUGGCGGCGUGCUUAGCACAUGCAAGUCGAGCGGUAAGGCCCUUUCGGGGGUACACGAGCGGCGAACGGGUGAGUAACACGUGGGUGACCUGCCCUCAGCUCUGGGAUAAGCCUGGGAAACCGGGUCUAAUACCGGAUAUGACUCCAUGACGCAUGUUGUGGGGUGGAAAGCCUUGUGCGGCUGAGGAUGGGCCCGCGGCCUAUCAGCUUGUUGGUGGGGNGAUGGCCUACCAAGGCGACGACGGGUAGCCGGCCUGAGAGGGCGACCGGCCACACUGGGACUGAGACACGGCCCAGACUCCUACGGGAGGCGAGCAGUGGGGAAUCUUGCGCAAUGGGCGAAAGCCUGACGCAGCGACGCCGCGUGAGGGAUGACGGCCUGGU
This 392-nucleotide ribosomal RNA is filed under the name uncultured bacterium. RNAcentral's name for it is "bacterial SSU rRNA". It matches the Rfam family "Bacterial small subunit ribosomal RNA", at positions 28 to 420 of the family's 1533-position model. The record is from RNAcentral.